GUCCUUAGUACUCUGGUUUCCACAGAAUAAUCCUCAUGCAGUGAGUAGUGGAAGUCAGGAGGAGUAAACUGCCUAGAUGUCAUGAAGGGAAAGCAAUGCACAAUAGACUUGUGCAGAAUCUAUUCCUGUCCGUUUCCCUGUGAAUCCAGGUUGCUGAACACUGGCCGAUGUCUGAGCUGUGGUUUCCCCCUGGAUUUGAAAUGUAGUUACUAGAAGACAAUGCUUUUGAAUGGCUUCUUGGCCGUGACUUUCAUAGGGCCUGCUGGCUGUUGCCUGAUGAUUGUUUGAUAGGCUUAGCACCUUGGCAAAGCAAUGUUUCAUUUGCAAAACUACGCUUGUCCAGUGCCUCCUGGGAACUGAAAGCCUGGCAUCAGCAGAGGAACGCAAAUUGGGCAAAUCACAGAUCUCCCAGGCAUGCGUUGCUUGGGGGCCGUGGCACACAGCACUGCUAAAAGUCUAGGACAAUCUAUGUAUUUUAGGAGCAAACCAGUGCCUUGCACUUCUAAGCUGUAUCCUUUGCUCCCUCCCUGAGAGGCAGCCGUGUGCUCUGGGCUUCCUAGCCUUGUAUGACCUCUGAAAAUAUGACCUGAAGCAGAUGGAUGCACUCACAUAAGAAACAUCACCUGUGGCCUUCAUUGAAAAUGGGCCUGCUGCUCAAAGAAGUUGGGCUCUUGGAGUUCUCUAGCACAGGGGCCAUGAAAAUCAAUGACUUCCUUGUUUGCUGAUGGAGCAGAGGUAGAAUCUCUUGGUGUUUCCACAGAGAAAACACUGACCAUGAAGAGCCAAGAAAGAUGACAUGAUGAAGCCAUCAGGGGAAGCACCAAACAUCCUCAACUCUGCUCACCCAUGGUUUUCUCCCACCCUCCCAGAGCUCCUCCUGCGUGAGUAAUGCAGUGUGUGCUGGUGCAGUGUCUCACUGAAAAAAGAAAGAAACCCUGAUUUGCAGCAUUGGCCAAUUUCUGUAGUGUAAAUACUCCCACCAUAGCAGAUUUCAGGUUACCAAGGGUUUCACAACUGGUUCACAAGUCUUGACUGUAAUGACCAGCUCAUGCAACUCCAGCAUCUCAUCAUCUCCACCCUGUCCCAGAAAAUCCCCACAUCACACCCAGGCUGAAUAUCACUUUCAGCUUCUCAGUCAGAAGGAGAAGUGGUUAACUAUGCCAGGAUGGUAAUGACUAAAUAUCAGAAUGGUGAGUGUGGAGGGUCAGGAUAUCUGCCAAAUUGGAGAUGACUCUUCACUUCUCAAUCUUGGUGUCUCAUCUGGGGAAGUUGGAGGGAGACAUGCACAGCUUCUCAUGAACAGUCCUGGAAGCCCUUACCCCAAGGCCUCAUGGGGCUCUCUCCAGGGCUUGCUCUUUGUCACUCUCCCCUUUAAAAGCCUGUCAUUCAUUGUCAGAGAACAGAAGGCUCCAUCCUAAGGCCAAGUUGAAAAUGGCAGGCUUGGGAGCUGUCUAGACUCUGGGUCCUGGCUUUUGUCUUGGCUGGUGUCAAAAUGGACUCAAAAUGGACUCUUUAAAAACUGGCCUCAGGAAGAUUCCCCAUCCAACUCUGAACAGCCUGGACUGAUCUUUUUCUGAUUUUUAGGGGUCUUGUGAACAAGAGUCAGGUGGGCGGGCAGCUCUUGUAAAGCUGAACAUAACCAAAUUUGUCCAUAGCCUGUGACAGCAAAGAUCACAAAACUCUUCCCUCCCCUUUAGGGCCUGGGAGUGAUGCCGAACCAAGGGGAGGAUAGUGACCUAUUUUAUCUCCCAAACAUUGGGCAGCCAGUUGCAUUUGCAGAUUUAAAAUCCACCCACACUACUGCAGUUUCUGUUCUCCUGCCCCCCCCAAGCAUACUUCUGGCUGGAGCUGGUUUUGUAAAGUGGAGUUGGCUGUGGGUGUGGGAGUCCUCCUCGGAGAGCCUGGUCUGACAGCCCCAGUCAACAGCCCUCCCAUGGGCAUUUGGGCUGCUCCAGUCCCAGCAGGUGCACAGCUCAGGGGAAUCUGGUUUUGUCUUGGUCUCAGCCAGGGAAGUCUAGUUAAAGAAAGAAAAGGUUGGCUGGGUGCAGUGGCUCACACCUGUAAUCCCAGCACUUUGGGAGGCUGAGAUGGGCAGAUCACGAGGUCAGGAGUUUGAGACCAGCAUGGCCAACAUGGUGAAACCCCGUCUCUACUAAAAAUACAAAAAUUAGCUGGGCGUGGUGGCAGAUGCCUGUAAUCCCAGCUACUUGGGAGGCUGAGGCAGGAGAAUCGCUUGAAACCAGAAGGUGGAGGUUGCAGUGAGCCGAGAUCGUGCCACUGCACUCCAGCCUGGGCAACAAGAGCAAAACUCUGUCUC
RNAcentral lists this long non-coding RNA (2317 nucleotides) under Pan troglodytes (chimpanzee). Its description in RNAcentral is "lincRNA". The record is from RNAcentral. Lineage: Eukaryota; Metazoa; Chordata; Mammalia; Primates; Hominidae.